UUGGCGUCUCCGCGGGGCACGCGCGGCAGUGAGGGCUCUGAGGGCCCUGUCCUCGGGGCUGGCGGGCCGGGCAGCGCCCCAUCAUGCAUGGAUCAACCGGGACCAGCGCUUCCUAGGACGUAAAACCUUGACACAGCUGCAUGUAACCCUACCCCAAAGAUACAGAUUAAUCCUAGCGGUGGAUGGAAAUACGGGCCGAGACUAGAGAAGGCAAGCUUCGUCUACACUGAGAAUCUGCUCUCAUUACUGAUCAUAACACCAAGUGGUCAUGCAUGUCACCAGCCUUUCCCACUGCAUCCCUUCCUAGCUCACUGACCUCCAUUUUAUGAUUCUACAAUCUUCUGCCCUUUUUGAUGUAAAGUCGCUGGUUGGUCCAUUUUGUGGUGCAUUCCUGACCAAUCAUUCUGGAAUGCCUUGAUUUCCCUGGCUGGCUCAUUCUCCUGUUACAGUCUAGAAUGCUGUCAUCACCCCAUGAGAUUGUUUUGCAAAUUUAAUUUUUGCCAGUAGGAGACCUCUGUAAUGACCUUAAUGUGGAUAAAGUAAUGGUGAUAGCAGAAGAAGCAAGCAAUUAACAUGACCAAGAGACAAAUGUGCAGGACGUAUAAGGAGGAGGUGGAAGAAUGGAAGCAUCAUACCAAGCAAAGAAAAUAGAAAGAGAGAAAUAUAAGCCACAGUUUUAAGAAGGAGCUGUGCAAGGGGAGCAGUAAGCCAAGAAGGAAAAGAAAAGAAAUUUUUUUUAAGGGCUUAUUUUUCUCGACAGUCUUGUAAUGACUUGAAGGCAAUGUAAUAACCUGUGUGGAUGUUUCACUAUUAUUAGAUAUGUUGGUAUGUCUUCUGGGAAAGAGGGAAAGAAGACUGAAAUGGAAAUUGUCCUUCUUCUGAGCUUGGCAGAUGUGUGUCACUUAACUCCCAUGAAGUCAAUGUGACUAUUUCAGCAUGGAAGGCAGAGAGAGAAAAGCAGGAUGGGUGACUUCAUUAACCAGAUUUAAACUUGAUGAUAAGAACAACAGCAAAUGAAGUAUAAUUGUUACAGAUAAUGCAGAGUGCAUGAGCAUGUUACCCUAUAUGUAGAGUUAACUGUGCUUUCCAUCGUGUCAGUCAGAAGAGUCCCUGUGCUGAGGACCAUACAACCUGAAGCAUACACUGCCAGUUUGCAUUGUACAUGUUCAUGGAGUGGUGUACUUGAAGCUCAGGGAAAAAUUCAGCCUUAAAUUUAUUUUCUACAAUCUGUUUCUAA
Molecule: non-coding RNA, 1237 nt
Organism: Cyanistes caeruleus (blue tit)
Lineage: Eukaryota; Metazoa; Chordata; Aves; Passeriformes; Paridae
Source: RefSeq, a predicted model, not a curated record